This 831-nucleotide ribosomal RNA is filed under the name uncultured Gammaproteobacteria bacterium. RNAcentral describes it as "bacterial SSU rRNA". It matches the Rfam family "Bacterial small subunit ribosomal RNA", at positions 45 to 873 of the family's 1533-position model. The record is from RNAcentral. Lineage: Bacteria; Pseudomonadati; Pseudomonadota; Gammaproteobacteria.
GCCCUUACACAUGCAAGUCGAGCGAGAAAGUUUCUUCGGAAACGAGUAAAGCGGCGGACGGGUGAGUAACGCGUAGGAAUCUACCAUUCAGUGGGGGAUAGCUCGGGGAAACCCGAAUUAAUACCGCAUAUACCCUAAGGGGGAAAGAGGGCCUAUCCUUGGAAGCUCUUGCUGUUUGAUGAGCCUGCGUGAGAUUAGUUUGUUGGUGAGGUAAUGGCUCACCAAGGCUACGAUCUCUAGCUGGUCUGAGAGGACGAUCAGCCACACUGGGACUGAGACACGGCCCAGACUCCUACGGGAGGCAGCAGUGGGGAAUAUUGGACAAUGGGGGCAACCCUGAUCCAGGCAUGCCGCGUGUGUGAAGAAGGCCUUCGGGUUGUAAAGCACUUUAGGUAAGGAAGAAAAGUCAUUGGUUAAUACCCAAUGACCAUGACAUUACUUACAGAAUAAGGACCGGCUAACUCCGUGCCAGCAGCCGCGGUAAUACGGAGGGUCCAAGCGUUAAUCGGAAUUACUGGGCGUAAAGCGCGCGUAGGCGGUUUGACAAGUUGGGUGUGAAAUCCCCGGGCUUAACCUGGGAACUGCAUUCAAAACUUUUAAACUGGAGUACGGGAGAGGAGAGUAGAAUUCAUGGUGUAGCGGUGAAAUGCGUAGAUAUCAUGAGGAAUACCAAUGGCGAAGGCAACUCUCUGGACCGUAACUGACGCUGAGGUGCGAAAGCGUGGGUAGCAAACAGGAUUAGAUACCCUGGUAGUCCACGCCGUAAACGAUGACAACUAGCCGUUGGACUUUCGGGUUCAGUGGCACAGCUAACGCAUUAAGUUGUCCGCC